Molecule: ribosomal RNA, 827 nt
Filed under: uncultured marine group I thaumarchaeote
Lineage: Archaea; Thermoproteati; Nitrososphaerota
Description: SSU rRNA
Rfam family: Archaeal small subunit ribosomal RNA
Source: RNAcentral
CCCGCCGGACCUGACUGCUAUCGGAUUGAUACUAAGCCAUGCGAGUCUUUGUAGUAAUACAAGGCAGACGGCUCAGUAACACGUAGUCAACCUACCCUAUGGACAAGAAUAAUCUCGGGAAACUGGGCAUAAUUCUUGAUAGAUCAUAAUGCCUGGAAUGGUUUAUGGUUAAAAUGAUUCGUCGCCAUAGGAUGGGACUGCGGCCUAUCAGCUUGUUGGUGAGGUAAUGGCCCACCAAGGCGAUUACAGGUACGGGCUCUGAGAGGAGAAGCCCGGAGAUGGGUACUGAGACACGGACCCAGGCCCUAUGGGGCGCAGCAGGCGAGAAAACUUUGCAAUGUGCGAAAGCACGACAAGGUUAAUCCGAGUGAUUUCUGCUAAAGAAAUCUUUUGCCAGUCAUAAAACCACUGGUGAAUAAGGGGUGGGCAAGUUCUGGUGUCAGCCGCCGCGGUAAAACCAGCACCUCAAGUGGUCAGGAUGAUUAUUGGGCCUAAAGCAUCCGUAGCCGGCUUUGUUAGUUUUCGGUUAAAUCCAUGUGCUCAACGCAUGGGCUGCCGAAAAUACUGCAUAGCUAGGGAGUGGGAGAGGUAGACGGUACUCAGUAGGUAGGGGUAAAAUCCUUUGAUCUAUUGAUGACCACCUGUGGCGAAGGCGGUCUACCAGAACACGUUCGACGGUGAGGGAUGAAAGCUGGGGGAGCAAACCGGAUUAGAUACCCGGGUAGUCCCAGCUGUAAACGAUGCAGACUAGAUGAUGCAUUGGCAUAAUAGCCAUUGCAGUGUCUCAGGGAAGCCGUUAAGUCUGCCGCCUGGGAAGUACGUACGCA